Molecule: ribosomal RNA, 1249 nt
Filed under: metagenome
Description: bacterial LSU rRNA
Rfam family: Bacterial large subunit ribosomal RNA
Source: RNAcentral
CCAUACGACCGUACCGCAAACCGACACUGGUGCGCGAGAUGAGUAUUCUAAGGCGCUUGAGAGAACUCAGGAGAAGGAACUCGGCAAAUUGACACCGUAACUUCGGAAGAAGGUGUGCCCUAUUAGUGUGUAGUGAACAACGAAGCAUGAAUGGGUUGCAAAAAAUCGGUGGCUGCGACUGUUUAUUAAAAACACAGCACUCUGCAAACACGAAAGUGGACGUAUAGGGUGUGACGCCUGCCCGGUGCUGGAAGAUUAAAUGAUGGGGUGCAAGCUCUUGAUUGAAGUCCCAGUAAACGGCGGCCGUAACUAUAACGGUCCUAAGGUAGCGAAAUUCCUUGUCGGGUAAGUUCCGACCUGCACGAUUGGCGUAACGAUGGCCACACUGUCUCCUCCUGAGACUCAGCGAAGUUGAAAUGUUUGUGAUGAUGCAAUCUCCCCGCGGAAAGACGGAAAGACCCCAUGAACCUUUACUGUAGCUUUGUAUUGGACUUUGAACAGAUCUGUGUAGGAUAGGUGGGAGGCUUUGAAGCAGGGUCGCUAGAUCUUGUGGAGCCAACGUUGAAAUACCACCCUGGUGUGUUUGAGGUUCUAACCUAGGUCCAUUAUCUGGAUCGGGGACAGUGCAUGGUAGGCAGUUUGACUGGGGCGGUCUCCUCCCAAAGCGUAACGGAGGAGUUCGAAGGUACGCUAGUUACGGUCGGACAUCGUGACGAUAGUGCAAUGGCAUAAGCGUGCUUAACUGCGAGACUGACAAGUCGAGCAGAUGCGAAAGCAGGACAUAGUGAUCCGGUGGUUCUGUAUGGAAGGGCCAUCGCUCAACGGAUAAAAGGUACUCUGGGGAUAACAGGCUGAUACCGCCCAAGAGUUCAUAUCGACGGCGGUGUUUGGCACCUCGAUGUCGGCUCAUCUCAUCCUGGGGCUGUAGCCGGUCCCAAGGGUAUGGCUGUUCGCCAUUUAAAGAGGUACGUGAGCUGGGUUUAAAACGUCGUGAGACAGUUUGGUCCCUAUCUUCCGUGGGCGCUGCAGAUUUGAGGAAGCCUGCUCCUAGUACGAGAGGACCGGAGUGGACACACCUCUGGUGUAUCGGUUGUCACGCCAGUGGCAUUGCCGAGUAGCUAAGUGUGGAAGAGAUAACCGCUGAAAGCAUCUAAGCGGGAAACUCGUUUCAAGAUGAGAUCUGCCGGGGCCUUGAGCCCCCUAAAGAGUCGUUCAAGACCAGGACGUUGAUAGGUCAGGUGUGGAAGCG